Molecule: ribosomal RNA, 465 nt
Filed under: Vreelandella stevensii
Lineage: Bacteria; Pseudomonadati; Pseudomonadota; Gammaproteobacteria; Oceanospirillales; Halomonadaceae
Description: partial 16S ribosomal RNA
Rfam family: Bacterial small subunit ribosomal RNA
Source: RNAcentral
UCUACGGGCGGCAGCAGUGGGGAAUAUUGGACAAUGGGGGGAACCCUGAUCCAGCCAUGCCGCGUGUGUGAAGAAGGCCCUCGGGUUGUAAAGCACUUUCAGUGAGGAAGAACGCCUGGUGGUUAAUACCCAUCAGGAAAGACAUCACUCACAGAAGAAGCACCGGCUAACUCCGUGCCAGCAGCCGCGGUAAUACGGAGGGUGCGAGCGUUAAUCGGAAUUACUGGGCGUAAAGCGCGCGUAGGUGGCUUGAUAAGCCGGUUGUGAAAGCCCCGGGCUCAACCUGGGAACGGCAUCCGGAACUGUCAAGCUAGAGUGCAGGAGAGGAAGGUAGAAUUCCCGGUGUAGCGGUGAAAUGCGUAGAGAUCGGGAGGAAUACCAGUGGCGAAGGCGGCCUUCUGGACUGACACUGACACUGAGGUGCGAAAGCGUGGGUAGCAAACAGGAUUAGAUACCCGGGUAGUC